GUCCUCGUAGCUUAACACCUAAAGCAUGACACUGAAGAUGUCAAGAUGGCUACCCUAUGCCCGAGGACA
This 69-nucleotide transfer RNA is filed under the name Nothocercus julius. RNAcentral's name for it is "tRNA-Phe". It matches the Rfam family "tRNA". From Rfam's summary of the family: Transfer RNA (tRNA) molecules are approximately 80 nucleotides in length. Their secondary structure includes four short double-helical elements and three loops (D, anti-codon, and T loops). Further hydrogen bonds mediate the characteristic L-shaped molecular structure. tRNAs have two regions of fundamental functional importance: the anti-codon, which is responsible for specific mRNA codon recognition, and the 3' end, to which the tRNAs corresponding amino acid is attached (by aminoacyl-tRNA synthetases). tRNAs cope with the degeneracy of the genetic code in two manners: having more than one tRNA (with a specific anti-codon) for a particular amino acid; and 'wobble' base-pairing, i.e. permitting non-standard base-pairing at the 3rd anti-codon position. Lineage: Eukaryota; Metazoa; Chordata; Aves; Tinamiformes; Tinamidae. The record is from RNAcentral.